GCAGUGAGGAAUAUUGGUCAAUGGGCGCAAGCCUGAACCAGCCAUGCCGCGUGCAGGAUGACGGUCCUAUGGAUUGUAAACUGCUUUUGUACGGGAAGAAACACCAAUUCGUGAAUUGGCUUGACGGUACCGUAAGAAUAAGGAUCGGCUAACUCCGUGCCAGCAGCCGCGGUAAUACGGAGGAUCCAAGCGUUAUCCGGAAUCAUUGGGUUUAAAGGGUCCGUAGGCGGCCCAGUAAGUCAGUGGUGAAAUCUCCCCGCUCAACGGGGAAACUGCCAUUGAUACUGCUGGGCUUGAAUUAUUGGGAAGUAACUAGAAUAUGUAGUGUAGCGGUGAAAUGCUUAGAGAUUACAUGGAAUACCGAUUGCGAAGGCAGGUUACUACCAAUACAUUGACGCUGAUGGACGAAAGCGUGGGGAGCGAACAGGAUUAGA
RNAcentral lists this ribosomal RNA (434 nucleotides) under uncultured bacterium. Its description in RNAcentral is "bacterial SSU rRNA". It matches the Rfam family "Bacterial small subunit ribosomal RNA", at positions 351 to 782 of the family's 1533-position model. The record is from RNAcentral.